RNAcentral lists this ribosomal RNA (434 nucleotides) under uncultured Lachnospiraceae bacterium. Its description in RNAcentral is "bacterial SSU rRNA". It matches the Rfam family "Bacterial small subunit ribosomal RNA", at positions 341 to 792 of the family's 1533-position model. The record is from RNAcentral. Lineage: Bacteria; Bacillati; Bacillota; Clostridia; Lachnospirales; Lachnospiraceae.
ACGGGAGGCAGCAGUGGGGAAUAUUGCACAAUGGGCGCAAGCCUGAUGCAGCGAUGCCGCGUGAGGGAAGAAGGUUUUCGGAUUGUAAACCUCUGUCAACAGGGACGAAAAUGACGGUACCUGUGAAGGAAGCUCCGGCUAACUACGUGCCAGCAGCCGCGGUAAUACGUAGGGGGCAAGCGUUAUCCGGAUUUACUGGGUGUAAAGGGAGUGUAGGUGGUCUGGUAAGUCAGAUGUGAAAGCCCGCGGCUCAACUGCGGGACUGCAUUUGAAACUAUCAGACUAGAGUGCAGGAGAGGAAAGUGGAAUUCCUAGUGUAGCGGUGAAAUGCGUAGAUAUUAGGAAGAACACCAGUGGCGAAGGCGGCUUUCUGGACUGUAACUGACACUGAGGCUCGAAAGCGUGGGGAGCAAACAGGAUUAGAUACCCUGGUA